RNAcentral lists this ribosomal RNA (346 nucleotides) under uncultured bacterium. RNAcentral's name for it is "partial 16S ribosomal RNA". It matches the Rfam family "Bacterial small subunit ribosomal RNA", at positions 338 to 681 of the family's 1533-position model. The record is from RNAcentral.
CCUACGGGUGGCAGCAGUGAGGAAUAUUGGUCAAUGGACGGAAGUCUGAACCAGCCAUGCCGCGUGCAGGAAGACGGCUCUAUGAGUUGUAAACUGCUUUUGUCCAAGGGUAAACCUGAAGACGUGUAUGCAGCUGAAAGGACUGUACGAAUAAGGAGCGGAUAACUCCGUGCCAGCCGCCGGGGGAAUACGGAGGUUCCAAGCGUUAUCCGGCGUUAUUUGGGUUAAAGGGCGCGUAGGCGGAUUGGUAAGGUAGAGGUGCACUGUCCGAGCUUAACGCGGGACCUGCCUCUUAUACUGGUGAUCUAGUGCGUUGCUGCGGUAGGCGGCAUGUUUGUUGUAGCGG